AUUUGAAAUCUGGCCUCGGCCCGAGUUGUAAUUUGUAGAGGAAGCUUUUGGUGCGGCACCGACCGAGUCCCCUGGAACGGGGCGCCAUAGAGGGUGAGAGCCCCGUAUGGUUGGACGCCUAUCCUCUGUAAAGCUCCUUCGACGAGUCGAGUAGUUUGGGAAUGCUGCUCAAAAUGGGAGGUAAAUUUCUUCUAAAGCUAAAUACCGGCCAGAGACCGAUAGCGCACAAGUAGAGUGAUCGAAAGAUGAAAAGCACUUUGAAAAGAGGGUUAAAUAGCACGUGAAAUUGUUGAAAGGGAAGCGCUUGUGACCAGACUUGCGCCUCGUCGAUCAUCCGGGGUUCUCCCCGGUGCACUCGGCGGGGCUCAGGCCAGCAUCGGUUUUCGCGGGGGGACAAAGGCACCGGGAACGUAGCUCCUCCGGGAGUGUUAUAGCCCGGGGCGCAAUGCCCUCGCGGGGACCGAGGACCGCGCUUCGGCAAGGAUGCUGGCG
This 492-nucleotide ribosomal RNA is filed under the name Apiosordaria tetraspora. RNAcentral's name for it is "eukaryotic LSU rRNA". It matches the Rfam family "Eukaryotic large subunit ribosomal RNA", at positions 113 to 631 of the family's 3401-position model. Lineage: Eukaryota; Fungi; Ascomycota; Sordariomycetes; Sordariales; Lasiosphaeriaceae. The record is from RNAcentral.